GAUGAACGCUGGCGGCGUGCCUAAUACAUGCAAGUAGAACGCUGAAGCUUGGUGCUUGCACCGAGCGGAGGAGUUGCGAACGGGUGAGUAACGCGUAGGUAACCUGCCUCUUAGCGGGGGAUAACUAUUGGAAACGAUAGCUAAUACCGCAUAAAAGUCGACAUUGCAUGAUGUUGACUUGAAAGGUGCAACUGCAUCACUAAGAGAUGGACCUGCGUUGUAUUAGCUAGUUGGUGAGGUAACGGCUCACCAAGGCGACGAUACAUAGCCGACCUGAGAGGGUGAUCGGCCACACUGGGACUGAGACACGGCCCAGACUCCUACGGGAGGCAGCAGUAGGGAAUCUUCGGCAAUGGACGGAAGUCUGACCGAGCAACGCCGCGUGAGUGAAGAAGGUUUUCGGAUCGUAAAGCUCUGUUGUAAGAGAAGAAACGAGUGUGAGAGUGGAAAG
RNAcentral lists this ribosomal RNA (451 nucleotides) under Streptococcus parasanguinis. RNAcentral describes it as "bacterial SSU rRNA". It matches the Rfam family "Bacterial small subunit ribosomal RNA", at positions 28 to 471 of the family's 1533-position model. Lineage: Bacteria; Bacillati; Bacillota; Bacilli; Lactobacillales; Streptococcaceae. The record is from RNAcentral.